GACGAACGCUGGCGGCGUGCCUAAUACAUGCAAGUCGAACGCACAGUUUAUACCGUAGCUUGCUACACCAUAGACUGUGAGUUGCGAACGGGUGAGUAACGCGUAGGUAACCUGCCUGGUAGCGGGUGAUAACUAUUGGAAACGAUAGCUAAUACCGCAUAAUAUUAAUUAUUGCAUGAUAAUUAAUUGAAAGGUGCAAUUGCACCACUACCAGAUGGACCUGCGUUGUAUUAGCUAGUAGGUGAGGUAACGGCUCACCUAGGCGACGAUACAUAGCCGACCUGGGAGGGUGGUCGGCCACCCUGGGACUGAGACACGGCCCAGACUCCUACGGGAGGCAGCAGUAGGGAAUCUUCGGCAAUGGACGAAAGUCUGACCGAGCAACGCCGCGUGAGGGAAGAAGGGUUUCGGAUCGUAAAGCUCUGUUGUAAGAGAAGAAAGGGUGUGAGAGUGGAAAGUUCACACUGUGACGGUAUCUUACCAGAAAGGGACGGCUAACUACGUG
This 505-nucleotide ribosomal RNA is filed under the name uncultured bacterium. RNAcentral describes it as "partial 16S ribosomal RNA". It matches the Rfam family "Bacterial small subunit ribosomal RNA", at positions 28 to 507 of the family's 1533-position model. The record is from RNAcentral.